AGCCGGCCCUAUAAGGAAGCUGAUGAAGCUACUGCUUCCGGCGGCCACAGAUUAUAAAAAAUAUCGGCCUUAUUUGGACAGAAAGUUCUUAUUAGCACUAGUGGUUUGGGUGUUGGUUACAAGGGUAAAGCCUCGAGUGUUCGAUUCCCUCCAAGAAAAUAGGCCACAUUUUUAAUUUUUGCUUCUAGCCACAUAUUUUCUAGGACCGGCUGUUGCAGAACACCUCUGUGGGUGACAUCUCUGACGGCGACUGGUGGUGACUCUUGUGCUGGUAUUGGACUCCUUGGCCUCAAGUUACUCCGGUCGUGGGAUUUAGAGUUCAAUCGGAGGCGGAAACGUAGCUUCCCUGUCUUCUUCCCAUCACCUUUAAACCUCUUUGCUCUAAUCUACUAGUCAGAAUAAGUUGAUGUUGUUAGAUCUUAAGAUGCUUUCGUAUUGUAACCUAGCCAGGUUGUUUCUCUUAAUUUUUACCGGCGU
RNAcentral lists this long non-coding RNA (477 nucleotides) under Brassica napus (rape). RNAcentral's name for it is "long non-coding RNA (BNAP_LNC011842)". Lineage: Eukaryota; Viridiplantae; Streptophyta; Magnoliopsida; Brassicales; Brassicaceae. The record is from RNAcentral.